CGUUCCCGGGCUUGUACACACCGCCCGUCACACCACGAAAGUCGGUAACACCCGAAGCCAGUGGCCCAACCCUUUGGGAGGGAGCUGUCGAAGGUGGGAUCGGCGAUUGGGGUG
RNAcentral lists this ribosomal RNA (114 nucleotides) under uncultured bacterium. RNAcentral describes it as "partial 16S ribosomal RNA". It matches the Rfam family "Bacterial small subunit ribosomal RNA", at positions 1369 to 1482 of the family's 1533-position model. The record is from RNAcentral.